This 462-nucleotide ribosomal RNA is filed under the name uncultured bacterium. RNAcentral's name for it is "partial 16S ribosomal RNA". It matches the Rfam family "Bacterial small subunit ribosomal RNA", at positions 28 to 507 of the family's 1533-position model. The record is from RNAcentral.
GAUAAACGCUGGCGGCGUGCUUAACACAUGCAAGUCGAACGAAGUUUUUCCUUCGGGGGAAACUUAGUGGCGGACGGGUGAGUAACGCGUGGGUAACCUGCCCUGUACAGGGGGACAACAGCUGUAAACGGCUGCUAAUACCGCAUAAGCCCUUAGCACUGCAUGGUGCAUAGGGAAAAGGAGCAAUCCGGUACAGGAUGGACCCGCGUCUGAUUAGCCAGUUGGCAGGGUAACGGCCUACCAAAGCGACGAUCAGUAGCCGAUCUGAGAGGAUGUACGGCCACAUUGGGACUGAGACACGGCCCAGACUCCUACGGGAGGCAGCAGUGGGGAAUAUUGCACAAUGGAGGAAACUCUGAUGCAGCGACGCCGCGUGAGUGAAGAAGUAUUUCGGUAUGUAAAGCUCUAUCAGCAGGGAAGAAAAUGACGGUACCUGACUAAGAAGCACCGGCUAAAUACGUG